UUUAGGGGGAGUGUUGGCCCAAGAGACCUAAAGCCCGCUGCUAUACGUGCGGGCGCGUGUGUCGCGGCCCGACAGCCUGGGUGGGCGCGCCGUGUGUGCGGGCGGCCCCGACGGACACACCAUGUGUCGGCUGUCCGGUUCCAACAAUUGGUAUCAAAGCCAGGUUGGCCCAGUGCAUUCUCAGACAAAUCUCGGCUCACAAUGUGUGAGGGGGAGAUUGUUGGGAAUAGUCCCACAUUGUUUGGUGAGAGUGUGAAAGCAUGGUUUAUAAGGUUGAGGGUGCAACCCCUAUGAGGCUAGCUUUUUGGGGGGAGUGUUGGCCCAAGAGACCUAAAGCCCGCUGCUAUACGUGCGGGCGCGUGUGUCGCGGCCCGACAGCCUGGGUGGGCGCGCCGUGUGUGCGGUCGGCCCCGACGGACACGCCGUGUGUCGGCGGUCCGGUUCCAACAAUUGGUAUCAGAGCCAGGUUGGCCCAGUGCAUUCUCAGACAAAUCUCGGCUCACAAUGUGUGAGGGGGAGAUUGUUGGGAAUAGUCCCACAUUGUUUGGUGAGAGUGUGAAAGCAUGGUUUAUAAGGUUGAGGGUGCAACCCCUAUGAGGCUAGCU
Molecule: long non-coding RNA, 605 nt
Filed under: Zea mays
Lineage: Eukaryota; Viridiplantae; Streptophyta; Magnoliopsida; Poales; Poaceae
Description: long non-coding RNA (ZMAY_LNC002330)
Source: RNAcentral